This 755-nucleotide ribosomal RNA is filed under the name uncultured bacterium. RNAcentral describes it as "bacterial SSU rRNA". It matches the Rfam family "Bacterial small subunit ribosomal RNA", at positions 28 to 776 of the family's 1533-position model. The record is from RNAcentral.
AUUGAACGCUGGCGGCAGGCUUAACACAUGCAAGUCGAGCGGAAACGAUGGUAGCUUGCUACCAGGCGUCGAGCGGCGGACGGGUGAGUAAUACUUAGGAAUCUACCUAGUAGUGGGGGAUAGCUCGGGGAAACUCGAAUUAAUACCGCAUACGACCUACGGGAGAAAGGGGGCAGUUUACUGCUCUCGCUAUUAGAUGAGCCCAAGUCGGAUUAGCUAGAUGGUGGGGUAAAGGCCUACCAUGGCGACGAUCUGUAGCUGGUCUGAGAGGAUGAUCAGCCACACCGGGACUGAGACACGGCCCGGACUCCUACGGGAGGCAGCAGUGGGGAAUAUUGGACAAUGGGGGAAACCCUGAUCCAGCCAUGCCGCGUGUGUGAAGAAGGCCUUUUGGUUGUAAAGCACUUUAAGCAGUGAAGAAGACUCCGUGGUUAAUACCCACGGACGAUGACAUUAGCUGCAGAAUAAGCACCGGCUAACUCUGUGCCAGCAGCCGCGGUAAUACAGAGGGUGCAAGCGUUAAUCGGAAUUACUGGGCGUAAAGGGAGCGUAGGUGGCUCUAUAAGUCAGAUGUGAAAUCCCCGGGCUUAACCUGGGAACUGCAUCUGAAACUGUAGAGCUAGAGUAUGUGAGAGGAAGGUAGAAUUCCAGGUGUAGCGGUGAAAUGCGUAGAGAUCUGGAGGAAUACCGAUGGCGAAGGCAGCCUUCUGGCAUAAUACUGACACUGAGGCUCGAAAGCGUGGGUAGCAAACAGG